Molecule: small nucleolar RNA, 90 nt
Organism: Elaeis guineensis (African oil palm)
Lineage: Eukaryota; Viridiplantae; Streptophyta; Magnoliopsida; Arecales; Arecaceae
Product: small nucleolar RNA snoR27
Source: RefSeq, a predicted model, not a curated record
UCCGGAUCAAUGAUCCAUCCGUAAUCGGCGUUAUCUUUCUGUAGCUCCUUUGAAGGAUUUGAAGAUGAUGCUUAUCUACUGAGAUCUGGU